AGUGAACGCUGGCGGUAGGCCUAACACAUGCAAGUCGAACGGCAGCACAGGAGAGCUUGCUCUCUGGGUGGCGAGUGGCGGACGGGUGAGGAAUACAUCGGAAUCUACUCUGUCGUGGGGGAUAACGUAGGGAAACUUACGCUAAUACCGCAUACGACCUACGGGUGAAAGCAGGGGACCUUCGGGCCUUGCGCGAUUGAAUGAGCCGAUGUCGGAUUAGCUAGUUGGCGGGGUAAAGGCCCACAAAGGCGACGGUCCGUAGCUGGUCUGAGAGGAUGAGCAGCCACACUGGAACUGAGACACGGUCCAGACUCCUACGGGAGGCAGCAGUGGGGAAUAUUGGACAAUGGGCGCAAGCCUGAUCCAGCCAUACCGCGUGGGUGAAGAAGGCCUUCGGGUUGUAAAGCCCUUUUGUUGGGAAAGAAAUCCAGCUGGCUAAUACCCGGUUGGGAUGACGGUACCCAAAGAAUAAGCACCGGCUAACUUCGUGCCAGCAGCCGCGGUAA
This 506-nucleotide ribosomal RNA is filed under the name uncultured bacterium. RNAcentral describes it as "partial 16S ribosomal RNA". It matches the Rfam family "Bacterial small subunit ribosomal RNA", at positions 29 to 523 of the family's 1533-position model. The record is from RNAcentral.